AAGAACCGCCUUCUCGGGGACAGGUUAUGAAUAUGUAUAGCGUUCCUAGAACUGUCAUGAAUAUGUAACACUUUACUGCAUUUAACCAAGUUCACAGCUACUGAAAAUUUAGACACGUAUUAGGUGAAAUGAUUUCCCCCGUGUGUCCAGCACUGUAAAUAAACAUACCUCUUUACAAUCUCACGGGUUGUAAAGUCAUUUCCGCGCCUCACUUUGGCGAGCCAGCCAGGAAGGCGUUUUGCUCGGCUGCAUGAACAACUGAGAACGGACGAAUUUGGCACACCCGGAAGCUUCUUUUUCAGAAGACCUCUGCCCCCAGCUGGUCAUUGCAGGAGCAGACAAAAGACCUCCGGCACUGACAGCGGGUAAGCAACUGUUCCCACAGAAGGCAAGAUUAAUGAAGAAGUCGUGAACCAAGUGUACCCCGGGGUAUGGGCUACUGAUGUACCUGAAGGGCCAAAAAUGCUCCACCUGUCGAGAUUUAAAAGAUGCCUUUUUGCAUCCCUCUCCGUGAAGCCAGCCAGACAAUAUUUGCAUUUGAAUGGGAAAACCCUAAAAGUGGACGUAAAACCCAGCUCAUGUGGAUGGUGUUGCCACAAGGAUUUAAGAACAGUCCGACAAUAUUUGGAAAUCAGCUUGCUAAAGAUCUUGAAUCUUGGGAAGCCCCCUUUGAUGAAGGACAGAUGCUACAAUAUGUGGAUGACAUUUUGAUCGCUACCAGAACAAAGGAGACGUGCAUAACCUGAACUGUAAGUUUAUUGAACUUUUUGGGGCUCCAAGGAUUUCAGGUAUCACAGAAGACAGCAACAAGUAACUUAUUUGGGCUAUGAAAUCAGUGCAGGGCAGAGGACCCUGGGACAGGCUCGAAAGGAGGCUAUAUGCCAAACUCCGAAGCCUCAAACUGUAAAAGCAUUACAAACCUUUUUGGGCAUGACAGGGU
This is a long non-coding RNA of Columba livia (rock pigeon), 940 nucleotides long. RefSeq lists it as uncharacterized. The record is from RefSeq and is a predicted model, not a curated record. The transcript has 3 exons. NCBI's taxonomy places the organism in Eukaryota, Metazoa, Chordata, Aves, Columbiformes, Columbidae.